UACAGAGGUCUCAAGCGUUGUUCGGAUUUAUUGGGCGUAAAGGGUGUGUAGGUGGCGCCGUAAGUCGGGUGUGAAAUUUCGGAGCUUAACUCCGAAACUGCAUUCGAUACUGCGGUGCUUGAGGACUGGAGAGGAGACUGGAAUUCAUGGUGUAGCAGUGAAAUGCGUAGAGAUCAUGAGGAAGACCAGUGGCGAAGGCGGGUCUCUGGACAGUUCCUGACACUGAGACACGAAGGCCAGGGGAGCAAACGGG
RNAcentral lists this ribosomal RNA (253 nucleotides) under uncultured bacterium. RNAcentral describes it as "partial 16S ribosomal RNA". It matches the Rfam family "Bacterial small subunit ribosomal RNA", at positions 524 to 776 of the family's 1533-position model. The record is from RNAcentral.